RNAcentral lists this ribosomal RNA (1541 nucleotides) under Salmonella enterica subsp. enterica serovar Adelaide. RNAcentral's name for it is "bacterial SSU rRNA". It matches the Rfam family "Bacterial small subunit ribosomal RNA". The record is from RNAcentral. Lineage: Bacteria; Pseudomonadati; Pseudomonadota; Gammaproteobacteria; Enterobacterales; Enterobacteriaceae.
AAAUUGAAGAGUUUGAUCAUGGCUCAGAUUGAACGCUGGCGGCAGGCCUAACACAUGCAAGUCGAACGGUAACAGGAAGCAGCUUGCUGUUUCGCUGACGAGUGGCGGACGGGUGAGUAAUGUCUGGGAAACUGCCUGAUGGAGGGGGAUAACUACUGGAAACGGUGGCUAAUACCGCAUAACGUCGCAAGACCAAAGAGGGGGCCUUCGGGCCUCUUGCCAUCAGAUGUGCCCAGAUGGGAUUAGCUUGUUGGUGAGGUAACGGCUCACCAAGGCGACGAUCCCUAGCUGGUCUGAGAGGAUGACCAGCCACACUGGAACUGAGACACGGUCCAGACUCCUACGGGAGGCAGCAGUGGGGAAUAUUGCACAAUGGGCGCAAGCCUGAUGCAGCCAUGCCGCGUGUAUGAAGAAGGCCUUCGGGUUGUAAAGUACUUUCAGCGGGGAGGAAGGUGUUGUGGUUAAUAACCACAGCAAUUGACGUUACCCGCAGAAGAAGCACCGGCUAACUCCGUGCCAGCAGCCGCGGUAAUACGGAGGGUGCAAGCGUUAAUCGGAAUUACUGGGCGUAAAGCGCACGCAGGCGGUCUGUCAAGUCGGAUGUGAAAUCCCCGGGCUCAACCUGGGAACUGCAUUCGAAACUGGCAGGCUUGAGUCUUGUAGAGGGGGGUAGAAUUCCAGGUGUAGCGGUGAAAUGCGUAGAGAUCUGGAGGAAUACCGGUGGCGAAGGCGGCCCCCUGGACAAAGACUGACGCUCAGGUGCGAAAGCGUGGGGAGCAAACAGGAUUAGAUACCCUGGUAGUCCACGCCGUAAACGAUGUCUACUUGGAGGUUGUGCCCUUGAGGCGUGGCUUCCGGAGCUAACGCGUUAAGUAGACCGCCUGGGGAGUACGGCCGCAAGGUUAAAACUCAAAUGAAUUGACGGGGGCCCGCACAAGCGGUGGAGCAUGUGGUUUAAUUCGAUGCAACGCGAAGAACCUUACCUGGUCUUGACAUCCACAGAACUUUCCAGAGAUGGAUUGGUGCCUUCGGGAACUGUGAGACAGGUGCUGCAUGGCUGUCGUCAGCUCGUGUUGUGAAAUGUUGGGUUAAGUCCCGCAACGAGCGCAACCCUUAUCCUUUGUUGCCAGCGGUUAGGCCGGGAACUCAAAGGAGACUGCCAGUGAUAAACUGGAGGAAGGUGGGGAUGACGUCAAGUCAUCAUGGCCCUUACGACCAGGGCUACACACGUGCUACAAUGGCGCAUACAAAGAGAAGCGACCUCGCGAGAGCAAGCGGAUCUCAUAAAGUGCGUCGUAGUCCGGAUUGGAGUCUGCAACUCGACUCCAUGAAGUCGGAAUCGCUAGUAAUCGUGGAUCAGAAUGCCACGGUGAAUACGUUCCCGGGCCUUGUACACACCGCCCGUCACACCAUGGGAGUGGGUUGCAAAAGAAGUAGGUAGCUUAACCUUCGGGAGGGCGCUUACCACUUUGUGAUUCAUGACUGGGGUGAAGUCGUAACAAGGUAACCGUAGGGGAACCUGCGGUUGGAUCACCUCCUUA